Molecule: ribosomal RNA, 369 nt
Filed under: uncultured Gammaproteobacteria bacterium
Lineage: Bacteria; Pseudomonadati; Pseudomonadota; Gammaproteobacteria
Description: bacterial SSU rRNA
Rfam family: Bacterial small subunit ribosomal RNA
Source: RNAcentral
CUACACUGCAAGUCGAGCGGUAACAUUUCUAGCUUGCUAGAAGAUGACGAGCGGCGGACGGGUGAGUAAUGCUUGGGAACAUGCCUUGAGGUGGGGGACAACCAUUGGAAACGAUGGCUAAUACCGCAUAAUGUCUACGGACCAAAGGGGGCUUCGGCUCUCGCCUUUAGAUUGGCCCAAGUGGGAUUAGCUAGUUGGUGAGGUAAAGGCUCACCAAGGCGACGAUCCCUAGCUGGUUUGAGAGGAUGAUCAGCCACACUGGAACUGAGACACGGUCCAGACUCCUACGGGAGGCAGCAGUGGGGAAUAUUGCACAAUGGGCGCAAGCCUGAUGCAGCCAUGCCGCGUGUGUGAAGAAGGCCUUCGGGU